AUUGAACGCUGGCGGCAGGCCUAACACAUGCAAGUCGAGCGGAGCGGCGGACGGGUGAGUAAUGCCUAGGAAUCUGCCUGGUAGUGGGGGAGAACGUCCGGAAACGGGAGCUAAUACCGCAUACUAUGAGAUGAGCCUAGGUCGGAGUAGCCAGUUGGUGGGGUAAAGGCCUACCAAUGCGACGACCCGGAACUGGUCUGAGAGGAUGAUCAGUCACACUGGAACUGAGACACGGUCCCGGCUCCAACGGGAGGCAGCAGUGGGGAAUAUUGGACAAUGGGCGAAAGCCUGAUCCAGCCAUGCCGCGUGUGUGAAGAAGGUCUUCGGAUUGUAAAGCACUUUAAGUUGGGAGGCGUUACCAACAGAAUAAGCACCGGCUAACUUCGUGCCAGCAGCCGCGGUAAUAC
Molecule: ribosomal RNA, 407 nt
Filed under: uncultured bacterium
Lineage: Bacteria
Description: partial 16S ribosomal RNA
Rfam family: Bacterial small subunit ribosomal RNA
Source: RNAcentral